Molecule: long non-coding RNA, 311 nt
Filed under: Brassica napus (rape)
Lineage: Eukaryota; Viridiplantae; Streptophyta; Magnoliopsida; Brassicales; Brassicaceae
Description: long non-coding RNA (BNAP_LNC004651)
Source: RNAcentral
GUGGUGGUGGUGGUGCCCCUCCGUAGUUUGCUGGAGGCCUCUGUCCUCCCAUAUUGUUAUGUGGCGGUGGUGGUCCUCCAUAGUUUGGUGGAGGCCUUUGUCCAUAAUUCUGCCCCAUGGGAGGUGGAGGGGGUGCAGAGCCACCCAUGUGAGGUGGAGGAGGGCCACCCAUGGGAGGACGUUGAGGAGGAGGGCCUCCUGCCAUGUUCUCUCUUCUCCUCUCAAAGUUUCUGCUUCUAUCAAAGUUUUUAGGACGGUCAUUGCGCCUGUUUCUUUCAUUGGCUCUAGCGUUGUUCCUUAUCCAUUCCUCG